RNAcentral lists this ribosomal RNA (277 nucleotides) under uncultured bacterium. RNAcentral describes it as "partial 16S ribosomal RNA". It matches the Rfam family "Bacterial small subunit ribosomal RNA", at positions 29 to 308 of the family's 1533-position model. The record is from RNAcentral.
AACGAACGCUGGCGGCGUGCCUAAUACAUGCAAGUCGCGCGAGAAAGUCCCUUGGGAUGAGUAGAGCGGCGCACGGGUGAGUAAUACAUAGGAACGUACCUUUUGGUGGGGAAUAACCACGGGAAACUGUGGCUAACACCGCAUAAUGACGCGAGUCUAAAACCGGCCUCUAUUUAUAAGCUGGUGCCAAUAGAGCGGCCUAUGUCCCAUUAGCUAGUUGGUAGGGUAAUGGCCUACCAAGGCUACGAUGGGUAACUGGUCUGAGAGGAUGAUCAGU